UGGGGAAUUUUGGACAAUUGGGCGAAAGCCUGAUCCAGCAAUGCCGCGUGUGUGAAGAAGGCCUUCGGGUUGUAAAGCACUUUUGUCCGGAAAGAAAUCCUUGGCUCUAAUACAGUCGGGGGAUGACGGUACCGGAAGAAUAAGCACCGGCUAACUACGUGCCAGCAGCCGCGGUAAUACGUAGGGUGCAAGCGUUAAUCGGAAUUACUGGGCGUAAAGCGUGCGCAGGCGGUUUGCUAAGACCGAUGUGAAAUCCCCGGGCUCAACCUGGGAACUGCAUUGGUGACUGGCAGGCUAGAGUAUGGCAGAGGGGGGUAGAAUUCCACGUGUAGCAGUGAAAUGCGUAGAGAUGUGGAGGAAUACCGAUGGCGAAGGCAGCCCCCUGGGCCAAUACUGACGCUCAUGCACGAAAGCGUGGGGAGCAAACAGGAUUAGAUACCCCUGGUAGUCCACGCCCUAAACGAUGUCAACUAGUUGUUGGGGAUUCAUUUCCUUAGUAACGUAGCUAACGCGUGAAGUUGACCGCCUGGGGAGUACGGUCGCAAGAUUAAAACUCAAAUGAAUUGACGGGGUCAUAGCUGUUUCCU
Molecule: ribosomal RNA, 587 nt
Filed under: uncultured bacterium
Lineage: Bacteria
Description: partial 16S ribosomal RNA
Rfam family: Bacterial small subunit ribosomal RNA
Source: RNAcentral